UACGUAGGGGGCAAGCGUUGUCCGGAUUUAUUGGGCGUAAAGAGCGUGUAGGCGGCCAGGUAGGUCUGCUGUGAAAACUCGAGGCUUAACCUCGAGAUGUCGGUGGAAACCAUCUGGCUAGAGUCCGGAAGAGGAGAGUGGAAUUCCUGGUGUAGCGGUGAAAUGACGCAGAUAUCAGGAAGAACACCCGUGGCGAAGGCGGCUCUCUGGGACGGUACUGACGCUGAGACGCGAAAGCGUGGGGAGCGAACAGG
RNAcentral lists this ribosomal RNA (254 nucleotides) under uncultured bacterium. RNAcentral's name for it is "partial 16S ribosomal RNA". It matches the Rfam family "Bacterial small subunit ribosomal RNA", at positions 524 to 776 of the family's 1533-position model. The record is from RNAcentral.